Molecule: ribosomal RNA, 305 nt
Filed under: uncultured bacterium
Lineage: Bacteria
Description: bacterial SSU rRNA
Rfam family: Bacterial small subunit ribosomal RNA
Source: RNAcentral
CCUACGGGAGGCAGCAGUGAGGAAUAUUGGUCAAUGGGCGGAAGCCUGAACCAGCCAAGUCGCGUGAGGGAUUAAGGCCCUAUGGGUCGUAAACCUCUUUUGUCAGGGAGCAAUGGCGUCCACGUGUGGGCGUAUGGAGAGUACCUGAAGAAAAAGCAUCGGCUAACUCCGUGCCAGCAGCCGCGGUAAUACGGAGGAUGCGAGCGUUAUCCGGAUUUAUUGGGUUUAAAGGGUGCGUAGGUGGUUAAUUAAGUCAGCGGUGAAAGUUUGUGGCUCAACCAUAAAAUUGCCGUUGAAACUGGUUG